CUCUCGGCAUAGGAUGAGACUAUAUUGUAUCAGCUAGUUGGUGAGGUAAUGGCUCACCAAGGCUAUGACGCAUAACUGGUCUGAGAGGAUGAUCAGUCACACUGGAACUGAGACACGGUCCAGACUCCUACGGGAGGCAGCAGUAGGGAAUAUUGCUCAAUGGGGGAAACCCUGAAGCAGCAACGCCGCGUGGAGGAUGACACUUUUCGGAGCGUAAACUCCUUUUCUUAGGGAAGAAAUUUGACGGUACCUAAGGAAUAAGCACCGGCUAACUCCGUGCCAGCAGCCGCGGUAAUACGGAGGGUGCAAGCGUUACUCGGAAUCACUGGGCGUAAAGGACGCGUAGGCGGAUUAUCAAGUCUUUUGUGAAAUCUAAUGGCUCAACCAUUAAACUGCUUGAGAAACUGAUAAUCUAGAGUGAGGGAGAGGCAGAUGGAAUUGGUGGUGUAGGGGUAAAAUCCGUAGAGAUCACCAGGAAUACCCAUUGCGAAGGCGAUCUGCUAGAACUCAACUGACGCUAAUGCGUGAAAGCGUGGGGAGCAAACAGGAUUAGAUACCCUGGUAGUCCACGCCCUAAACGAUGUAUACUAGUUGUUGCUGUGCUAGUCAUGGCAGUAAUGCACCUAACGGAUUAAGUAUACCGCCUGGGGAGUACGGUCGCAAGAUUAAAACUCAAAGGAAUAGACGGGGACCCGCACAAGCGGUGGAGCAUGUGGUUUAAUUCGAAGAUACGCGAAGAACCUUACCUGGGCUUGAUAUCCUAAGAACCUUGUAGAGAUACGAGGGUGCUAGCUUGCUAGAACUUAGUGACAGGUGCUGCACGGCUGUCGUCAGCUCGUGUCGUGAGAUGUUCGGUUAAGUCCGGCAACGAGCGCAACCCACGUAUUUAGUUGCUAACAGUUUGGCUGAGCACUCUAAAUAUACUGCCUUCGUAAGGAGGAGGAAGGUGUGGACGACGUCAAGUCAUCAUGGCCCUUAUGCCCAGGGCGACACACGUGCUACAAUGGCAUAUACAAUGAGACGCAAUAUCGUGAGAUGGAGCAAAUCUAUAAAAUAUGUCCCAGUUCGGAUUGUUCUCUGCAACUCGAGAGCAUGAAGCCGGAAUCGCUAGUAAUCGUAGAUCAGCCAUGCUACGGUGAAUACGUUCCCGGGUCUUGUACUCACCGCCCGUCACACCAUGGGAGUUGAUUUCACUCGAAGUCGGAAUGCUAAACUAGCUUC
RNAcentral lists this ribosomal RNA (1221 nucleotides) under Campylobacter lanienae. RNAcentral's name for it is "bacterial SSU rRNA". It matches the Rfam family "Bacterial small subunit ribosomal RNA", at positions 212 to 1453 of the family's 1533-position model. The record is from RNAcentral. Lineage: Bacteria; Pseudomonadati; Campylobacterota; Epsilonproteobacteria; Campylobacterales; Campylobacteraceae.